This is an RNA transcript of Mesocricetus auratus (golden hamster), 7458 nucleotides long. It is a transcript of the gene named zinc finger CCHC-type containing 2, with no coding region annotated. The transcript has 16 exons. Lineage: Eukaryota; Metazoa; Chordata; Mammalia; Rodentia; Cricetidae. The record is from RefSeq and is a predicted model, not a curated record.
UGGGGUGCCGUGCGCGGUGCCCGCCAGCGCCUCCGCCCAGCCCCGCAGCUCCUCCUCCUCCUCUCUUAGCCGCUCUGCCUGAGCUGGCUCGAGAAGGAACCGCUCUGGCCGUCGCCGCCUGCCCAGUGCGGACGCGGAGAAGGAGGCAGAAGGAGGACACGCUGGUCGGCUUGCUCCUCCCGCACCCGGCUCCCCAGCAGGCGCGGCGCCCAGGGGAGGAGCCGCCGCGGGCACGCCCCGCCUCCGGCCCGGGAGGACGACGCCGGCCGGCCACCGCCCCCUCGCCGGCGAGACCCGCCCCCGGCCCGCCCCGGCGGCAUGGAGGGGCAGCGUUCCUGACUGCCGUGCCGCCGCCCGGGCUCUCGGCUCCUCCCGCCGCCCCCGCUCCCUCGCUCGCAUGUCCGCGCCGCCUUAGCCGAGGAUGCUGAGGAUGAAGCUGCCGCCGAAAUCGACGCACCCCAGCGAGCCGCCACCCGACGCGGAGGAGCCCGAGGCGGACGCGCGGCCCGGCGCAAAGGCACCGCUGCGCCGCCGCCGCGACUGCCGCCCGCCGCCGCCGCCCACGGGCCUGUCGCGGGGCCCCCCUCCGCCGCCGCCGCCGCCGCCGUCGCCGCCGCCCCGGGGGCUCGAGCCGCCUGUUGCUGACGGGCCGACGGCGGGCGCGGGCAUGCCGGGCGGCGGCGGCGGGCACGCGGCGGCGCUGCGCGAGCAGGAACGGGUGUACGAGUGGUUCGGGCUGGUGCUGGGCUCGGCGCAGCGCCUGGAGUUCAUGUGCGGGCUGCUGGACCUGUGCAACCCGCUGGAGCUGCGCUUUCUCGGCUCGUGCCUGGAGGACUUGGCGCGCAAGGACUACCACUACCUGCGCGACUCCGAGGCCAAGGCCAACGGCCUCUCGGACCCAGGGUCGCUGGCCGACUUCCGAGAGCCCGCCGUGCGUUCGCGCCUCAUCGUGUACCUGGCGCUGCUGGGAUCGGAGAACCGCGAGGCCGCCGGCCGCCUGCACCGCCUCCUGCCCCAGGUGGACGCGGUGCUCAGGAGCCUGCGCGCGACUCGGGCCGAGGGCUCGCCGGGCAGCGUGGAGGACGAGCCGGGUGGCGAUGGCGGGCAGGACGCGGAGAAGGACGGCCUCGGCCCGGAAGGCGGCGGCUGCGCCGAGCUCGGGACUGAAGGCGGACUUGGCUUCAGGGCCCAGGAGGAACUGCUGCUGCUCUUCACCAUGGCUUCGCUGCACCCGGCUUUCUCCUUCCACCAGCGGGUCACCCUGAGGGAGCACCUGGAGAGGCUCCGCAGCGCGCUCCGCGUGGAGCCCGAGGAUCCGGAGGUGGAGCGGUGCAACUUUGCGGGCUUCAGGGCCCAGAACGACUCUGCUUGUGGUGAUUACAUACAGAGUAAUGAGACUGGCUUAGUAGAACAAGCCCAAAUACCUCAAGACGGACUCACUAUGGCCCCUCACAGAGCUCAGCGAGAAGCUGUACACAUUGAGAAGAUAAUGUUGAAAGGAGUGCAGAGAAAAAGGGCUGACAAGUAUUGGGAGUACACUUUCAAAGUAAAUUGGUCUGACCUUUCAGUCACAACAGUAACAAAAACCCACCAAGAGCUACAGGAAUUUCUACUGAAGCUUCCAAAGGAAUUGUCUUCUGAGACCUUUGACAAGGCCAUCUUAAGAGCCCUGAAUCAGGGUUCUCUAAAAAGGGAAGAGCGGCGGCACCCUGACCUGGAGCCCAUCCUCAGGCAGCUAUUUUCAACUUCAUCCCAGGCUUUUCUUCAGAGUCAGAAAGUACGCAGCUUCUUCCGGUCACUGUCCUCGGAGUCUCAGCACAGUGUCAAUAACUUACAGUCCUCUCUGAAGACUUCUAAGAUAUUAGAACACUUAAAAGAAGACAGCUCAGAAGCUUCAAGUCAAGAAGAAGAUGUGUUACAGCACACCAUAAUGCACAAGAAACAUGCUGGGAAGAGUCCGGCAGUGAACAGUGUUGGCACAAGCUGUUCUCCAUUGGAUGGGCUUACCGUGCAGUAUGCAGAGCAGAAUGGAAUUGUGGACUGGAGGAACCAAGGCUGUGCCACCAUCCAGCACCCAGAGCACUGUGUGACCUCUGCUGACCAACAUUCUGCUGAAAAACGAAGCUUAUCUUCAGUAAAUAAGAAGAAAGGGAAGCCACAGAUGGAAAAGGAGAAAAUUAAGAAAACUGAAAACAGAUUGAACAGUAGAAUAAAUGGUGUUAGACUCUCUGCUCCUCAGCAUGCUCAUGGCAGUACUGUGAAAGAGGGCGAGUCUGUGUCCGCAGUGGCAGAAAGCAUGGCAGCAGGCCUGGUGCUAGAGCAGCAGCUGAGAGCUCACGUGAUCCAUGAGCAUAGGCAGAGACAGCUAACUUGGAAUGAUAUGAAUUUGGACAUUGGAUCUGGACAUGACACAUGUGGAGAAACAUCUUCAGAGAGUUACAGUUCUCCGUCUAGUCCACGACAUGAUGGAAGAGAAAGUUUUGAAAGUGAAGAAGAAAAGGACAGAGACACGGACAGCAAUUCUGAAGACUCUGGGAAUCCAUCAACAGCCAGGUUUACAGAUUAUGGCUCUGUCAACCAGACUGUCACUGUCAAGCCACCUGCUCAGAUUGUCUCACUGGGGAAUGAGAACGGAAGCCUUUUAGAAGCUCCAUUGACCUCACACAAGUAUCCACAUAUUCCCUUCAUGCCAACUCUACACUGUGUCAUGCACAAUGGUGCCCAGAAGUCAGAAGUUGUCAUUCCUUCACCCAAAUCCACAGAUGGCAAAACACUAGGGAUGCUUGUUCCUAAUCCUAUGGCUGUCUCUACAGUGAUGGAGUCCACAAAUUCAAGCCCUAUUGGAAUCCUGGGCCCAGCAACUUCUGGAGAAUCAGAGAAACACCUGGAAUUGCUGGCUUCCCCUUUACCUAUCCCAUCAUCCUUCCUUCCACACAGUAGUACUCCUGCUUUGCAGCUAACAUUGCAGAGGCUGAAAUUGCCACCACCACAGGGAUCUUCUGAGAGCUGUACAGUUAAUAUUCCACAACAGCCAACUGGAAGUCUGAGCAUUGGAUCACCAAACACUGCCUUUAUUCCUGUCCAUAACCCAGGUAGUUUCCCAGGAUCUCCUGUGGCUACCACUGACCCCAUCACAAAGUCUGCAUCCCAAGUGGUAGGACUAAAUCAAAUGGUGCCUCAGAUUGAGGGAAACACAGGAACAGUCCCUCAGCCUACCAAUGUGAAGGUAGUUCUUCCGGCAGCUGGCCUUUCAGCUGCACAGCCACCAGCCUCCUACACCUUUCCAGGCUCACCCCUCGCUGCUAGUGUGCUACCCACCCAGAAUUCGACUUCUGCCCAGCCAACAAGUGCAGGCAUCAGUCAAGCCCAGUCUACAGUUCCUCCUGCUGUUCCUACCCACACCCCAGGCCCUGCCCCGAGCCCCAGCCCUGCCUUGACACACAGUACUGCUCAGAGUGAUAGCACAUCUUACAUCAAUGCUGUGGGGAACACAAACGCUAAUGGGACCAUAGUGCCACCACAGCAGAUGGGCUCAGGUCCUUGUGGCUCUUGUGGGCGAAGGUGCAGCUGUGGGACCAAUGGAAACCUUCAGCUAAACAGUUACUAUUAUCCCAAUCCAAUGCCUGGACCAAUGUACCGAGUCCCAUCAUUCUUCACUCUGCCAUCCAUUUGCAAUGGCAGCUACCUCAACCAAGCACAUCAGAGCAAUGGAAACCAACUUCCUUUUUUUCUGCCUCAGACUCCAUAUGCAAAUGGACUGGUGCAUGACCCAGUCAUGGGGAGCCAAGCCAACUAUGGCAUGCAACAGGUGGCAGGAUUUGGGAGAUUGUAUCCAGUAUAUCCAGCACCUAAUGUAGUUGCCAAUACCAGUGGUUCUGGGCCCAAGAAGAAUGGGAAUGUCUCAUGUUACAAUUGUGGUGUAAGCGGACACUAUGCACAAGACUGUAAACAGUCGUCCAUGGAGGCCAAUCAACAAGGCACUUACAGACUGAGAUACGCACCUCCCCUCCCCCCUUGUAAUGAUACGUUGGAUUCUGCAGACUGAACGAGCAAAGCUUGCCUACUUAAUGUACUCAAGUGCGGGGAGUCGUGGGGUGUGGAGGGGAGGAAAGGAAAGGUUCUGGCUUUUAAAAGACCUCCAAGUUUUAAUAGCAUCUGUUACUCAAGGGCGGCAUCCACGAAGGCUUGGGAGGCGUCUUUAUUCAGUUCUGUGUGCCGAUGGAUGUGUUCCCACAGUGAAGCCACGAAGAGGCAAGCUUCAGCAUAAUCCAACCCUUCGGUGACUUCUCAAGAGAAUGCAAAUGCGUGUACACACACAGCACACACAUUGGUUUUCAGAACAGAGGGUGACACUGAAGACGUGAUCGAAUGAGCUCUCUGACUUGCAUCUCUGAUCUUCUUUUUCACCGGGCAAGGAUGGCUACAAUGACAAGGGCUCUGGGGUCCCAGAGAGGAGCAGGAGGUGUGACGGGGACCCUGAGUGACCAGCUGCACUAUUGACUUUCACUACGAACUUGAACAGACACAGGCCGUGCUAGGAAAGGCAGCCCAUCCUUUCUGGGCUACCCCUAUUACUCGUUUACAUAGCUUGGGUCCCCAAAGUCACUUUAACACGACUACUUUUUGUUGUUACUGUGUACAAAUCACAGCUACUGUGCCUAUUCAUGUAAAGGUAAUUUGUUGCCAAAUCUCAGGAGUAUGUGUAAUUGCCUAAUGCUACCCUCUGUCACAGGGGUGCAUGAGAGCAUGAAGCUCUUCUGGGAAGUGCUGUGUGCCAAACACACCUGGACCCCAAAGCCCUCCCUUCCCUGGAAGUCACAAGCAGAAUCCUUUCCUCUCCACAUCGGUUGGGGUAGCGUUGUGGUGAGGGUGGAGAGAUGAGGUGAGGUAGGGCUUGUUUGUGGGGGCUGGGAGAUGAGGUAGGGUGUGGUGGAGUCAAGUAAAGUACUUCAUUGUUUUUCUUUUUCCUCUCUGGGCUGAUUUUGAGCCAUUGUGAACAGGGGUCCUGGAAAAAAAAAAAAAAACCUACCAGAAAAAAAAGUUACUUGUUGGAAAGCAGUGCCACCUGGUGGGAGACAGAAAUUGUGCAAGCAAACGUGUCAUUUCCUAUUGACCUACUUUAGAGAACAUUGUAAUAGAGAGCAUCUGACUGUAAAGUGAUUUGAGGCGGCACCGCUCGGUCUGUGUGUGCGUGCGUGCAUGUCAAGGCAUUGCCGUUCCCUCUCCAGCGCUCACUCUGAAAGGGCUGGGAAUUUGAGGUUCAGGGACAUGAAGUUCCACAAAGGCGUCAGUGCUCACCUCCCUGCUCCAUGCCCACCCCCACUGCAGCACUAAACUGAAGCAACAUGCUAUAAAUCUGUAGGACGCUUCCUGUACGAGGGCUGGGCCUGGUGGAGGACACUGGCACACAGGUCAUGUCCCAGUCAAGCCGAGUGUCUGUUCUCCUGUGCUGAAGGACUGGGGGACACUGGAUGGGGUAAUGUGCCCGCAAACAGGGCGCCUUGGAACAUCGACAACCAAGCUUUAAGCAUUUGUAUUAAAUUGCCACAGUAUCAAGGCUCACUAAUAAGUGAAGGUUUUAAGUGUGCACAGAUACCCAGCAACGAAAGACUGCUUAACUUUACCAAGGUUUUGUGUGUUAGCAUUCAGGCUGGAUGACCUUGCCUGCCGGUACUCAGGCAGUACUCUGACCUGCUUGGGGUCCUGACAGCGUCAUCAACAAUGUCACUACAGUUACAGCCCCUCAUAAAGUACAGCCUGCCCGCCCUCCCCCCCCCCCUUUCUUCUGCCACUCCUGUCGCCAGAGGCCAUUAUCCCUCCCUCCCUUUUUUUAUUCUCUUCCUUCAAUUAAAAACAAAACAAACCCUCUACAUGAGACCAGUCACAUGGUAGCUAUCUCAAGCGCUCUGUUUUUUAAAUUAUAGCAUUGACCUUGGCAGGCAAUCUGAGGCUCUCUAGGAUGCUGGAACCCAGUCCAUAUAUGACAGUAUCACUUCUCCAACUAACUGAUUCCCUGGACCUCUCCAUCCAACAUGAGUGAGAAUUUGUCUCAACCGUGGCUUCUUGACUCUUAAACAAGUCCUGCCAUCAGGCAUCCACAUGUCUCUUGGGGCUCAAUACCCCAGCCCCUGGGCAUCUGGGUGAUCACCCACUGGCCAGCCUAUGCCUUCUCGAUCAUCUCUCUCAGGAUCAGGGCCCUGGCCCCUGCCCUGUGUUUGACAAAUCACCGAGCAGUCUGUGCCUUCUCAAAGCCAAUGCUUUCUGAAUUCCUGGGGCACUAGGAAUUGCAGACCUUCUCAUUCAUGGGCACUACAUCUUCCACUAUACCUCCAAGGGCUUCUAAACUCGUCUGCCUUUGCAAUCAGAUCUGGCCCAAAUACCCCUUAGAUAUCAAUCCAAAUGGCCACUUCCCAGCACCCUAAAUCCCAAUAUUUGAUGCGCAAUCAGAUCUGGCCCAAAUACCCCUUAGAUACCAAUCCAAAUGGCCACUUCCCACCACCCUGCAUCCCAAUAUUUGAUGCGACCUUUGCAACAUUCUGUAGUGAGCCAACAGAUGGAAAGGAGCCUUUUUCUUAUCUUCACUCCAAGCCCUCUCACUGCUCUUUCUAACUCUGCUUCUUUCAUUAAAGGGUUCCAGUGUUGCUUUCCAAAGCAUCAGCCUGCCUCUGCUGCCAAAGCAGUUACAUGUCGCCAGGUCCCUCUCUGCUGUGUGUGUGUCAUGUGCAUCCUUUGAAAGUGUGGACCAGUCUCUAAUUUCUUCCCUUGCCCCGCCCUGCCCAUCUUCUCUCUCUCUCUCUCUGUCUUUCUCUCUCUCUGUCUCUUCUGUCUCUCCUCUCUCUCUGUCUCUCUGUCUCUCAUUCUCUCUCUCUCUCAUUCUCUCUCUCUCUCUCUCAUUAUCUCUCUCUCUCUCUCUCUCUCUUGUCUGUCUGCCUCUCUCAAGUCCGCACUCUGACGUAGCCUUUCACUCUUCUGCUCUCUCCAUCCCCUAGAGGCUUUGCACUAACUCAUGUGUGGUGUGUCUGCUUAGUGGCAGGGCCCGCCAAAGGUCCUCACUUUCUCCAGUUUCGUUCUUUUUCUUGACUCCAAAACCUGCUUGUGUCUGUCUGCUCUGCCUUUCUAAAUGCCCUGUCUUGGUAGAAGCCAGCCGCCUCCUGCCCAGCACUUUUCCUUUUUAAUUUAUUCAACUCCUGUUAAGGUGUGUAUGUAUGUGUGUGUGUGUGUGUGUUCACAAACAUGACUUGGAUUUAACUAUGUUCAUGAAUGUAAGCUAGUUUUAACUGUAUGUAACUUGGAUUCAACUUUGCCUAUAUGUACAUGGAACUAUUGAUUAGAAUAACAUGUUUUAAACAGCAACCAUGUGGUUCUCCAACUUCGCUAAUGACCUAAUCAUGAUGUAGGCAGCCACAUGCCUGGCAGCCAACUUUUACUAAGGUUAAAGAGUAAAUUUCUUAGUAUUAA